GGGCCUUCACAACCUUUGGGGAACUGACUCAAUGUUUCCUAGAACGAUCUAUGCCUCAUCGUUCUUACGUAGUGGGCCUAAGGCAAUGGGGAGUGUAAAAACCCUGGUGUGCCCAAGGCAUCUUUUCCUUUGCCAAGGGAAAACUCUGCCAUUACCUUUCGGUCUACUACACAUAAGUGACUCCACAUAUCGUUUCUACUUUAAUAAUAGAGUCCACCCCCUGGGGGAUAGACCUCUAUAUGGAUAUGACUUUUUGGGUCAUUCCAUUCACCAAAUGUUCCCCCAUGGUAUUUGGCAAGACAGGGCUCUAUUUUUAGUUGAACCCCAUGCCACCACAUACCUCAGUUUUUGUUUCCCUUAAUACAAGUUCCUAUUAAAAUAAGAUUACAGACUCAGUAACAGAUAUUCAACAAUUAAGACAAGUUUCACGUUCUCGCCAACUGGGCGCCUCCGGUCCAUAUAUCCAUCCAUCUCUGUUCCCUUCUCGUACCUUUUGCUUUAUAUCUGUCCACCUUGAAUGUCGCUGUCACAUCCUGCACUGUCCUCCUUCCUAUCUCCUGUGGGCUCGUGCGUCUGUCCUC
This 581-nucleotide long non-coding RNA is filed under the name Zostera marina. RNAcentral describes it as "long non-coding RNA (ZMAR_LNC002741)". Lineage: Eukaryota; Viridiplantae; Streptophyta; Magnoliopsida; Alismatales; Zosteraceae. The record is from RNAcentral.